RNAcentral lists this ribosomal RNA (252 nucleotides) under uncultured Bacteroidales bacterium. RNAcentral's name for it is "partial 16S ribosomal RNA". It matches the Rfam family "Bacterial small subunit ribosomal RNA", at positions 524 to 776 of the family's 1533-position model. Lineage: Bacteria; Pseudomonadati; Bacteroidota; Bacteroidia; Bacteroidales. The record is from RNAcentral.
UACGGAGGAUGCGAGCGUUAUCCGGAUUUAUUGGGUUUAAAGGGUGCGUAGGCGGCGAGUUAAGUCAGCGGUAAAAGCCCGGGGCUCAACCCCGGCCCGCCGUUGAAACUGGCUGGCUUGAGUUGGGGAAAGGCAGGCGGAAUGCGCGGUGUAGCGGUGAAAUGCAUAGAUAUCAUGAAGAACUCCGAUCGCGAAGGCAAGUGUCCGGGGUGCAACUGACGCUGAGGCUCGAAAGUGCGGGUAUCAAACAGG